Serendipita sp. 401 is the source of this 82-nucleotide non-coding RNA. NCBI's taxonomy places the organism in Eukaryota, Fungi, Basidiomycota, Agaricomycetes, Sebacinales, Serendipitaceae. The record is from the annotation of a GenBank genome assembly.
GCCGUCAUAGCUCAGUGGGAGAGCGUUAGACUGAAGUUUCAGCUGCAUCUACCGGUCGCCUGUUCGAUCCAGGCUGACGGCA